AAAAGUGCACAAGUUCCCACCUACAUGCUUUGUUUGGCUGUCAAAGGAACACAGGCAAGUGCUUGACAGCCUGUUAUGGUGAAAGGUGAGUGGCUGGCUGUGUGGCCUGGACAUCUCAUCCACUAGAUUCCAGACGGAGACCCACCAAACUCCACGUAGGCCUCUGACCAGUCAUCGCACGCACGCCAGUGACUUUUGGACUCAUAGACCAUCUGUAAAAUGCAAUGUACUGCAAGGACAGCGGAUAACAUCUGUAUAGCAGCCUUCAACUUGAAAGAUCCCACAGGAACAAAACUGAAGUACAAAUGGAUGACUCCACCCGUCACUGAAUUGUGGGCAUUCAUGAGUUGAAACACGGCAAUGUGCAAUUAUUACUGAGUUUAUCCUCAGCUGAACAGGAGGUAUUAACGGAUAAAACAUGGGAAAGAGGACACACUAAUAGACAGAGGCAGAUAUUGGAGACAAGAGAUAAAC
Molecule: long non-coding RNA, 474 nt
Organism: Mauremys reevesii (Reeves's turtle)
Lineage: Eukaryota; Metazoa; Chordata; Testudines; Geoemydidae
Exons: 3
Source: RefSeq, a predicted model, not a curated record